GUCCGAUAAAAGCUUCAUGAAGAUGUGCUGUACCAUAUGAAGAUCCCCAGCCCAUCUUGAGGGUGAUGGUGUUUGUAUAUGACGUCUAUGAAGAUCAACUGCUGUGCCUACAUGGUAACGAUGGAGAGUUUGUAUAUGAUGUCUAUGAAGAUCAACUGCAGUGUCUCCAUGGAGGUGGUGGAGUAUUUAUAUGCUGUGUGAAGAUCUACUGCUCGGUAUACAUUGUCGGUAUGAAAUUGCUAUGGUCUUCCAAGCUUUCUUUCUUGGUCACUGGACAUUGAGAACUGAUCUGCUCAAGCACACUUAGAUCAACUCUGAUUAAGAGUUUACUGAACUUGCAUGAUAAUGUUCAUUUCAGUAUGCCUAUUAUAGAUCUUCUGAGCUGAAGCUAGGUUUCAAGUAUUGGUGAAAGCCAUUUGAUGAAAUGAAGCUAGGUUUCGUGCAAGUGAGCCAAUUUGAUUGGUCAGAAGGUAGAAUAGCCCCAAGUAGCGGUACCAAAUGGAUCCCUUAUGACAGAAUGGAUUCUCUCCAUUUUUGCAUGUGUGACAUGAAUCUUUGAUAUAGCUUGCUCGGAAUCGAUUGCUGCUGCUGCAGCAGCAACCACUCCUACCUCUUCAUACCCUGAAGAGACCUAGCAGCGGCUGGUGUAGUAGCGCAGCUGUGCAGAGGCAGAAGGGAUGAGACUUGGAAUAAGAAAUUAUUCUGCUAAAUACGCUGCAAAUGGAUCUGUUGUUUUCUCUAUUUUCCAGGAUAUGAUGCUUUGCUCUAGUUUGAGCUUCUGGACUUAAUAUUCGAAAAUAGCAUCUCGUUUUAAUAUUUGAAAAUUGCAUCUUGUUUUAUUGGUUGUUUGCUCAAUUCAACUAUUUGACCCGAAGGUUCUUUUUUUUUGCCAAUCUUUCAUGUAUAUAGGUGAGAAUAUUCUUCAGAUUAGACUUAUACUCUCCAUUUUUCAAAUUAAUAUGUGUUCUGAAUGUUGAGAUUUGACUAUACUGAUACUGGUAGUUACCUUCCGACCUGGAGUUUGGCUCUGGUACCUCUGAUCUAGAGCUCUGGUGAGUGGUGACCUAAUGAAUCCGACGGUUACCUUUCGAUCUGUAGUUUGGCUCUGGUUCCUCCGAUCUGGAGUUUGGCUGUGGCGAGCGGCUACUGAUGAAUCUGGCUUCGGCUCUGUGAUGGUUCUCCGAUAGGUUGUACUGUUUAUGUAUUGUUCUUUUCGCAUUGUUAAUUAAUUCUGAGGUUGAAGCCAUGGUUUGCAAAUUUUCUGGAGCCAUCACCACAUUGAACAGAAACUUUGGUUGCUGUACGAAGGUAUAUAUGAUGUUACUCAAUUCUUACUAAACACUCCGAAUACUACUGAUUGCAAGCAUAUUAAUACCAUCAAGGCGCGUAGAAAGUAGUGUCAUUUAAUUUUGUAUCUGACAUAGCAUAAUUGUCUUAAAAAUCAAAAAAUGAAAAUGGUUUUAGAUUUUGAUCAGUGUUAAGUGUGUCUCCUAACUGUGGAUCUUAUCUCAACACGGUGAGGUCCUCUGUGGACUGUUCAUUACAGUUCCGGACGGAAGGUGGUUCGAUUCCACCAAGAUCCUGUAGUCCGUAUUUUUGUGAUACAACAGGUUUAAAUUAUAAAGAUGUAAGUUCCAUAAAACUAAUUUGAAAUAGCUGCUGUAAAUAGUUGUAUUUUUUUUUUCAAAAUCCUUCUUUCCGGGAGACUUAGGGUAUAUAUUUUGAUUCAUCUGGAACUUGGAUUGAUUUUAAGAUAAUUGUAAUAAAUAUUGAUAUUAUUGUGAUUCUAAGUGUAUAUUCUUAUUUUUUAUUAUCUAAAUCUAACUUGGUUCAAGUUAUGUAUGUAUAAGUUCAAAAUUGCUAUCUUUUUGCUGCAGGUUAUACACAAUUAUAUCCUGCUGCUUUUAAAAUUUUGUGAUGCUAUUAUUUAUGGAGUUCAGUAGAUGUUGGAAGUUCUGCUAUCUGCUUUAAAAUUUUGAAGCCAAUGGUUCCUGAAACAAAAUUUGUUUGUUAGUGUUCAUUACGUUUUUAGUACUUCCUUCAUUCAAGAUGUUUGCUUAUCUUAUAAGACGUAGUCAAUAAUAUUUUUCUCUCACGAUAGAAUAGCAAACAUUAUUUUUAGCUAUAGUUUUUCAGAUUAGCAAACAGGCUCGACAAGAAUUUUGGAAAGUUAAAAAACAUCUUAAGUUUGAACAGACUCGACAAGAAUCUUGGAGGGUCAAAACAUCUUAAGUUUGACCAUAAAAUAAUAAUAUUUAUAAUAUCAACUGAGUAACAUUAGGUUCUUUACUAAUUAUAUUUUUAUAGUAUAUCUAUUUAAUGCUAUAAAAUUUUGUAAUUUUUUUAUAAUUUUAGUUAAAUUUGAGAUACUUUGACUCUUCAAAAUUAUUAAAAUAACUUACAAUUUAGAAUGGACAGCGUACAUAUAAAAAUAUGAUUAAGGUCUUGUUUGGAUGAUAAAGAAAUUGUAGUUUUAGUGUGGUUUAGAAAAAAUAAGGUCUAGAGUGAAGUUUUUAAAACUCUAAAAGACUCGUUUUAGCAAUAUCGUGGUAUUUAAAAUUAUAAAGUUUGUUACAGCAAACACUCCAUGAUACUCUAAAAUUAAAGUAUUUUAUAAAAUCUUGAUAUUUUUAUAAAACUCUAAAAAUACUUUGUUUAACAGGACCUAAAGGGUAAUUUAUGCACUCCAAGGUAGGACCUAGUGUCUCUUCCUGAUUAAUAACAUAGAGCUCUCAAAUUUCCAAAACUCACCUUCAAUCUUGAUUUUUUUAGCAACUUCCAUCUCUUCUUCUUCUUCUUCUUCUUCUUCUUCUUCUUCUUCUUCUUCUUCUUCUUCUUCUUUGCAAUACAUGGAAAUAUACAAGUGUGUAUGCAUCAGCCAAUCUGGAGGUUUUUUUACCCGCGUGUAUCUAUCAAUCAAUGUGGAGAGGUCCUUUCCUGUUUGGUUUUGACUGCUAAAGUUUAAUCCUCAGAUAUUUGACACUAAUUUAGAGUAUUUGAUAUAGACGUUACAAAACUAAUUACAUUGAUUGCGACUAAUUUGCGAGACAAAUCCAUUAAAUCUAAUUAGGACAUAAUUUGAUAAUGUGGUGCUAUAUUAAACAUGUGUUAAUGAUAGAUUAAUUAGGCUUAAUAUAUUUGUUUUUUGAAUUAGCCACAACUAUAAUAAGUUUUAUAAUUAACUCGUAUCUAGUUUUACUAAAUAGUACAUGAUAUUUGAUGUGACAUGGAUUAAACUUUAGCCCCUCGAUCCAAACCCCACGAAGGUGAAAAGACAUGGAGGACAUGGAGGUGUUUGUUUUCACAUGCAUAUUCAUCAAUGGAGAGGUCCUUUCAAUCUAAGGGUGGAAGGACACAAAGAAGCAUAAGUAGUUAGACAAGAUUUUUAAUGUAAAUAUACCAGAGAUAAAAGUAGUUAGAGCGAUUUUAGAAUAGUCUAUGAUUUCUGAUGUAAAAUUAUCUUUUAUAUUUUGAGAGCGAGAUGUGAAGUAGGAGUCUAUGUUGUACUUAUGGAGAGCAAGAUGUGAAGUAUGCGUCUAAAUUAUACUAAUAGACAACGAGGCUCACAACAUUUUAGCAGGAAACUCUAUAGUGAACAUGACGUGUAGUAGACCAGUAGAAAACCGCAUGGAGAUCCGGUUACUUGUAUGGAAGGUCCAUGGACAAACAGGGGGUACUUGAUCAUGCCUUAACUCUUGCAAGCUUCUCGAUACCUCGAGAAAAAUUGGACAUGAGAGUUUCUGUUAUCUUACUAAUUUACGGGCUUACUUGGUUGGCUUUCAAUUCUUGCCCAACCAAAAUUGAGGUAAGCUAAAAUUUUUAGUCGUGAGUUGGUUUGCCAAAGAAUUGACACACCAAUGUUGAUUGUCAAAGCUUGGACAAGUCUCUAGAAACUUUUUAUUGGGUACAUAACUCUUUUGUGUUAGCGAUAGUAAUACAUAGCAAAAGCAUAGAACGUAUUUAGAUAGACACUUGUGUAGAUUUUGAUAAAUGUUUUUAAGCUGUCUAAUUCAACCUCCAUCUUAGACUUUGCAGUCCUUUUGUACCUCAUCCACUAUUCUAUCUGCAUGUGUAUUUCGCUAGACAGUAAGGAGCUAAUCCCUCUGUUCCAAAUUAAAAGAUAUUUUAGCUUUUAUAAAUAUAUUAUUUUACUAUUUAUUUUGAUAUAAUGUAUCUCUCUAGAUAUAGUGUAUAUCUUAGUGCAUAGUGUAGAUAUAGUGUAUAUCAGACCUUGUUUAGAUGCGAAAAGAUUUUGAACUUCGCUACUGUAGCACUUUCGUUUGUUUGUGGCAAAUAUUGUCCAAUUAUGGACUAACUAAGAUCAAAAGAUUCGUCUCGUGAUUUAGAACUGUGUCAUUAAAUUUUAUUUUUAUCUAUAUUUAAUGCUUCAUGCAUGUGUCGAAAGAUUCAAUGUGAUGAAGAAUCUUGAAAACUUUUUGGUUUUCGGGUGAACUAAAACAAGGCCUUAGUGUAUAAUGUCAUAGCUGUCGCUACUGAACGAGACCUCUGAACCAAACAAUACACCUCCCGUCUUUCCUUUCGCCCCUAAAUCACUGUCGUUCCACCAUUGGUGUCUUCACCGGGAUCUGCCGUCGUCCCGAAAGCAAAUCCGAGCAAGUGGCGAAGGAAGCGGGCCGGGCGAAGAAAGCUUCGCGGGGUGCCCAAAUCCGGAAGCUUGGUAAUAAUGAACAACAAAAAAAAAGGUCUCUGCGGCUGUGCCAAGUCAUACAUUACGGUAAACACCAUCAAACCAAACGAGCAGCAUAGCAAAUUAGAACGCUCAUCCCGCCGUGAAUCGACAACAAAAAUUUACAAAAAGUCAGUCCACCACCACCAGCUCCAGCUCCUCGCACGCCGCGCCCGGUGCGUUCGUGCAGGGUUUGCUUGCAGUUGCAGCUCGGAUCCUUCAUCUCCACAUCGACUUGUCCGAGUCGUCGGCGGCACUGACGUUCUCCGACAGAAGCGACGGCCUCGAGCCCGUCGACGUCCGGUGAGAGGCCCGCGGCGAGCGGUGCUCCUGCAUCGAGCAAAAAGCAAAUCCAAGAACGGGCGGGCGUGUGUCAGACAGUCAAUACCACCACCAAUGCCAUGCGCAAGCUCACUACUGGUAGCCAGCGACACCGGCGAGCGAACAGAACAGAGGAAAGCAAUACCAUGCGGAAGGGGAACUCGUCGCCCUCGAGCAUGUGCACGAUCUGCCCCAUCUUGGGCCGCUUGUGCGCGUCGGCGUCGAUGCAGCGGAGGCAGACGAGGAGCACCCGGUUGAGCACCCGUGGCGGCGGCGGCGCGGCGAUGCGCGGGUCCACAAGGUCCUCGACGCGGCGGCUGCCCACCAUGCCCCUGAACCACUCCACCAGGUUCACCUCGCCGGCGGGGCGGUUGUAGUCCACGGGGCUGCGCCCGGAGAUGAGCUCCAUCAGCAGCACGCCGAAGCUGUAGAUGUCGCUGCUCUCGUUCAGCAUCCCAGUCGACGCGUACUCGGGGGCCACGUACCCGAAUGUGCCCAUCACCCGGGUCGUCACGUAGCUGGACCCGGACCCCAGCACCUUGGCCAUGCCGAAGUCCGACACCUUGGGGUUCCAUUUCUUGUCCAGCAGGAUGUUGCUCGACUUGAUGUCCCGGUGCACCACCUUCGGUUCCAGGCCUUCGUGCAAGUACGCUACGCUGCCACACAUGAGCAAAAUUACCAGUGGAUUUAUUUCCCUAUUGACACUAAAGAUUAAUAACAAUCGAAGAUUAUGAAGUACCCUGUCAGCAGAAGAACAUGAACAUACCCUUUGGCCGUUCCGACGGCGAUCUUCAUCCGUAUCUCCCACGUCAAGGGGCUGACAGGCCCGACGUCGCCGUGCAGCCACUGCUCUAAGUUGCCGUUUUCGACGAACUCGUAAAGGAGCAUCCUGUGAAAAGCAAAUUUAUAGCAUUGGCAGUGAGUAUCGAUCAAUCAGACUAUCAGCAAGCAUUUGUUAGUUCAGUGGCCGACAGUUAUUCAGGUGAAAUUCACAAGUGUGGGUGCUCACCGUUUAGGGCCUUCCGCGCAGUACCCGAUGAGACCGACAAGGUGCUUGUGCCUCACUUUGCCGAUGGCUUCAACCUCCACCUUGAAUUCCUUCUCGGCCUGACCCCUAAAAACAAAUCAUCAUCUCAAUCAACAAGCAUGCCGACUAGUAACGCUAUCGUCAUCAGAACAUAAACUUCUAUCUGCUGUCCAUUUUAUCUCUCGAGAUUUACCCUAAAUGUCGUAGCAUGGUAUGGUUGAGGUAAGAAACAGCAAUAACUGUUGCUUCUAUGGCAAUCUAUCAGGAAACCACGUGCAUGCAUUUGAUUCCCUUGAAAGCUAACACUGCUUCAAAGCUCAUUGCACUGCAUAUUUUUAGUUGGAUAUAUAUGCCUACGAAGCUGAAUGAAAAGGAAAAGUUUGGUCGUCGCUUUGCCUUUCCCCUGCUUUAUCCUUUCUUGAAAGAAAGGAUUUAAUCGGUGGCCCAUAUGACUACCGACGAAGUUCAACCAACAAGUAGAUGGACACAUACGGGCCAUCACACAAAAGCACAAAAAGACCCACCUACUCAUAUCAUAAUCAUACGUAGCCUUGGAAAAACAAAACAUAUAUGUUUUUUUUUGUAAAUCAUUGACUUUAGUAUAUGGACAUUGUGGGUAUGCAUACAACAUAUACUACAUUAUAUCCAUGGAUUCACAGGAUCAUCGAGAUCAAUUAUGUGACAAUCGUGCCAUACAGCACAGUGAGGAUCAAAGGUGUGGACACGCCCGCUACGGCUAUGAUUUUCUCUCCAGCUAAAUUGUGUCCUUCAGUGAUUUGUGAAGAUAGUUGUGAACCCCACUACUAACUUUAAAGUAUUAAUAAAGACAUCAAAGAUCAAACCUUUUUGUUUUUGUUUUUUUAGGGUGGCAAAGAAGAAAAGAAUUCUCCAGUUAUUAAACCUUUUCUCCUUGGUUUUGAAAAACUAAGCAUGCACAAAAUUUAAAGAGUGCUUUUCGAAUCCGGGAAAAAAAAUGCUGCUACCACGAAUGGUUAGUUGUUGAGCAGUCAAUUGAUGUAAUGCAAUUCACCUGUCUAGAACUGAAAACUCACAUUGGUAACAAAAGUCAGAAGUAUUGCUUUUAAGCUAAUAAAAACAUGUUUUACAAGCUUUUUUAUAUGACCAUGAUAGUAAAAGACUAUCGUCAAGCCACAUCAACAGCAAAGCUACAACCACCACUGGGGUAAUGUGACCAAUGACCAAGAAAUGCAUUAGGAAAGCAUCAAACAUAUCUGUACUACCUCUUGUCAAAAUCUUAGGCCCAAGGAGUAGCACUACGAUCCUCUACUGUACCCAUUAAGGCAUUUACACCAGAAAGACAAGAACGAGGGAACAUAAUUGUACCAUGUACUAGGAAGGUUAAUUUAAUUUACACACGUCGAUUUAGUAAUUAGUUAGAUACUCAAGUAAUGAGGGAUUUUUUAAUCUGAAAGUGGACGCCUGAGUUCGAUGCUUUUACCAUGAUCUGCUUCUGGGAUAGAAAAGAAAGAUACCAGCAGUACAAAGGAAAAGGAACAGCGAAGAUCAGGACACUCACUUGUGAUCCAACAAGUCCUUGACCGCGACGACCUCGCCGCCGGCAAGGAUGCCGCGGUACACCGUGCCAUAGCCUCCCUCCCCGACCACGUUCUCCGGGCAGAACCCGCCCGUGGCGACCUCCAGCUCCGUGAGGUCGUACCACCUCCCCCACCCCAUCUCCAUCUCCACCCCCGCCGCGGGUGCCCCGCCGCCGCCGACGACGGCCCUGACCGCCUCCGCCUUCCUCUUCACCGGCGACUCGAGCGAGCUCGCGGCCGCGGAGGAGCUGGCCACGCCAGAGGAGGUGGCGGUGGCGGUGGCACCCGCCCCGCCGGCGCCCUGGUCCGCGCCGACGACCUUCUCCUUGCGCGCGGACGACGCCGCGCGGGAGGAGCCGGAGGCGGAGGCGGAGGACGGCGCGUGCUCGACGCGCGACAGCGAGGGCGGCCUGGCGCCCCGCCUGCGCGCGAAGAAGACGGCAGCGGCCACCGCGGAGAGGACGAGCAGGGCGACGAGUGCGGCGGCGGCGCCCACCGCGACGAGAACCGGCAUGCCGAAGAGGGUGGUCUUGGAGUUGGAGCCGCCGUCGGCCGGGGCUGCGCCGGCGGCCGAUGGCGGCCCGGCGGCGUCCAUUGGCGGUUGGGAGCUCGGGGGCGGUGGGGCCGUCCCCGCCUCCGACCCGUUAGGCGCAGCAGAGCAGGAGCAGGGGUGGUGGUGGCGUGGCGAGGGAGUGGAGGGAGGCGGAGGCGGAGCGUGUCGCGGGCGGCAGCCGCUCUGUUUUAUGGCGCUGGGCGAUUUUCGUCGUUGUGAACGUUGGUGGACUCCUCAAUCAAAAAACAAAAAAAAACUUGGUGGACUCGUUGUUGCGUGGGCCCGGCGCAUCAAUUUUAGGCAUAGGCCUUGUUUACUUCCGAAAAGAUUUCGGAUUUCGGUACUGUAGCAUUUUCGUUUGUUUGUGACAAAUAUUAUUUAAUUAUGGACUAACUAGAAUCAAAAGAUUCGUCUCGCGAUUUCCAGCUAAACUGUGUAAUUAGUUUUUACUUUCGUCUAUAUUUAAUGCUUCAUGCAUGUGCCACAAGAUUCAAUGUGACGGGGAAUCUUAAAAACUUUUUGCUUUUUUGGGUGAACUAAACAAGGCCAUAUUUGGAUGCACCCAACUAAAAGUUUAUAUAACUAGUUAAAAUUUUAAAGUAAAAUUUUAGAUAGCUAAUAAUUUCUCGGUGAAACUUUAGCUAAAGUAUUUAGAUGUUCUAGCUAAUAGAUUUAACUAAAUUUUAACUGGAAGUUGAAAUAGCUAAAUCCAGCUAAAUUUUAGCUAAGUUGUAGGAUGCCUAGCAGCUAAAUUUAGGCAACGAAAAUUUAGCUGUAGCAUCAAGCAUGCCCAUCUGAACUCCUCUUUCAUUUUUCCUCACCAUUUUUUCAGCUAUUUCGGCCUAAAAAAAUGAGAGUAUUUAUAAGCUUAUAAUCAUUCGGAUAUCCUAAUUGGGACGAAUGAACAGGACAGUUUCGCAUAUACGAGUCACAGUUCAACAAUAGUUUAGCACUCUGUCAUUCAUGCAGGGCCUAGUAUGCUACAGUACUAAUUAGCUAUAAGCGACGUUUAAACAGCAGCGCAACUACUCCUAUAAAACAGGACUGUACGACGGUGUAACGCAUGCAUGCGAUAUACGCGUACUAAUUGACACCUAAACAGAAAAGGCACGGCCGGACGGGUUUGAUCUGUGACGGCAAAUGAUGGCGGUAUGGACCGGCGGUAGGCCAGGCGUACGGGUGGCGCGCGGCCGCGCGGGCGUAUUGCCGUUCCACGGGAGGCGUGUAGUUUUUGUUCCGGUGCCUGCGGCUGCCUAUACGUGGAGCUAGCGGUCGUUGGCCGGAAGCUGUCCCGUGAGCGGCCGGCGAGGUAUGGAGAGGGCCCGUGAAGGCUCUGUAGCGCCCCGUUGGCUUCUGGUGCGCUCGAUCGAUCGCCGGGAGUCCGUUACGUUGCGUGUCCUUGCUGCUUCUACGUCGUAGCACCACAACACAGGCUGCUUACGAAGAAUGUGUACUGAUACGAUGAUGCCCGUCACGUGUGUACUUAUAACAGUAUAUAUAUAUAUAUAUAUAUAUAUAUAUAUAUAUAUAUAUAUAUAUAUAUAUAUAUAUAUAUAUAUAUAUAUAUAUAUAUACACACGACCGCUGGUAGGAUGUACUCCAAAUGAUGAUGUACAGAGAAGCGCAGUAUACGUUUCAGCCAGCAGUUUCGCUUCAGCCUGCCGUAUAUAGUCUAUAUAGAUACGCCUACCUUUAUAUGACUAUACGGCAGGAACAAACGGCUCAGUUUAUGUUACCGACUGUGGCUGGAUCAUCUUCAUCGUCCGAGGACAUUCCUGGUCCUCGCACAAAUUACGCGAUCGAUUCCUCCAUUGCCAGGUCAAAUUCGCUCAUUUAAUCUCCCUCCUGUAUCACGGUCUCCUUUUUCAUGGGUCCCCUAAUUAACAGAGAUGAAUAAGAGUACUGUACUCCUCUAUGUUUUAACCUAAACCCACAUCGAUCGGAGAUCCUGCACCGGCAACGCUCACAGAAACACCACGAGGCCUAGCUAGACAGCGACAGACGAGUAAAGGCAACCUUGGAUUGUCCUUUUGGAUUAACAAGAGGCUGCAACGUUCAGGUUCUGUGAGGCAGGUUAAGGUUGCCGGGAAAGCGACGAGGCCACGCAGCAGCUCUGGUAUUGUAAAAUACACGCCCGGCCCGUGCCUCUGCCCGUCUGCUGUGUCCUGCCCGCCGCGCCGGUUGAUUGGCUUGGAAACCAAGCGUGCAAAAGAGUUCGGGAGGGGCGUGCGCCCAUGCUUCCCAGUUCCUCAUCCUCCCGUUCAGACUUUUAGUCUAUACUAUAUACUAGUACUAGUAUAUAAUCAAAUCGAAUUAGUACCAUUAAUUACUGUUGCUCGUAAUCAGAUCAUUUUUCCUAAAAGGAAAUGGGCGAUCAUGUCAUAACAGUCACAACGUUGUUUGUGCGCGCAUGUCUCCGGCCGGGUUGCCCUGCCAGCUGGCUCGAUCCACUGCCAAUAUGAAUGAUCACUAGAGUACUUGUGCGAUGACUACGGCUUUUAAUCAUCAUCAUCAUAUCGAGCGAAAUGGGAAACGUGGCAUCGCUCACUGUUCAAAACACGGUACUCCGUUUGGAAAUGGGAGUACGUGUCGUUUGGCACGAAAAAUAGACGCUCGUGGUGGAAUCUGUGUGCCGAUAGAUGCAUGCAAGGCGGAGAAACGGGGAUGUGAACACGCAAUUAAAAAGGAUCACGAGACUCACAUCAUCAUUCAUCAGGGCCGCGCCCACGAAUGAACGGUCACCGACGCCGCCAUCAUCUGAUUGGUUAUUACAUGGAUGCGUACAUAUAUAGGAGUACGUACGACUCCAUGGACGAUAUAUCGAUCCCCACCCCCUAUAGAUUAUUGACCGUCCGUGCACGUAUCAACAACCAUCUCUUUGUGAUUACCUGAGGCCUUGUUUAGUUUUCAAAAUCUUUGAUCGCAUACAUAGAGCAUUAAAUAUAAAUGAAAAUAAAAACUAAUUGCACACUGUAAUUUGUGAGAUAAAUCUUUUGAACCUAGUUACUCCAUAAUUAGACAAUGUUUAUCAAAUAAAAACAAAAAUACUACAGUAGCCAAAAACCAAAAAUUUUGCAAACUAAGGCCUUGGUUAGAUCACCCCAAAAACUAAAAAGUUUUCAAGAUUCUCCGUCACAUCGAAUCUUGUGACACAUGUAUGAAGCAUUAAAUAUAGAUGAAAACAAAAACUAAUUACACAGUUUGCCUGUAAAUCACGAGACGAAUCUUUUGAUUCUAGUUAGUCCAUAAUUAGAUAAUAUUUACCACAAACAAACGAAAGUGCUACAGUGACCGAAAACUUUUCAUUUAGGAACUAAACAAGGCCUAAACAAGGCUGGGAAUACGCAACAGACACAGUGCUCACGAUCAGUGAGCAUAUAUCGGCUAGUCCUAGAGCAGCCUGAACAGGUGACAACGAACUGCGUGCAGCAAUCGUUUUCUUAGGGCUUGUUUAGUUCACACAGACCAAAAACUUUUAAGUUUCCCGUCACAUCGAAUCUAAAUAUAAAUGAAAUUUACCUGUAAAUCGCGAGAUGGAUAUUUUAAAUCUAGUUAGUUUAUGAUUAGACAAUAUUUGUCAAAUAAAAACAAAAGUGCUACAGUACCAAAAACCAAAAAAUUGUUUUUCGGAACUAAACAAGGCCUUAGAAAUUUUUUUGAAACAUUCUCACAAUUAUGUCUCUGAAAGUUUGAUUUUAGAAUUUAGACCUAAGACUUGACGCCAGCUAACAUUGCUUGACGUCAUUCAUCAUAGCGCCAAACUUGGCGCCACCACUAAUAGCGUCAAAGGUAUUUAGCUGUGUACGUGGUUCGUGAGCUUGACAAAAGGGGUGAGAAAGAAAAACGAGACGUCGUACGUUCAUUAUUAUGUCAACCUAACCAAAGAUGUACAGUAGCAACAAUGGCGGCCGCCGGUGGCCGGAGGGACACCUACGCCGGCGUCAUGCGCACGAUGCCUACAGGUGUCGAUCGGUCGGCCCCGCCCGAUGCAUGCGGCGGCUGGGGGCUGGGGAUUAAUGGCCGGGCUUGGAGGUAGCUCGAUCCGGCAGUGGUGUUGCACUGUUGCUAAACGCCUUUUGCUCAGCCGUGACUGUUCACUGGGCCUUUCGGGUUUCUCUUUCCGCGGCCUCGCAAUUAGUCGCGCCGUCCGUUUGGGGCGAUCAUGAUGAUACCGAAGCUAAUGCGCUAGCCUGUUGGACAAUUAGAUUAACAGUUCUCGUCUUGCGUAGUCGGAGUAGGCGCAUGCAGGUGCGCACCAAACACUGCAGAGCAACACCAAGAGCUCAGACACUUCACUGCUUCGGACACGGGACAGUUGCUUUGGUAAUGCAUGUUUACUACUACUGAAGCUUCAAGUAAAGCGUACGCGGUACAGAGAUUCUUGGCAUCUUUGUCAGUUCUUCAACCAUCCCUGUCCCAGGAAGUACAGUACCUGAUGAAUCCCUGCACUUGUCUCCUGAUUGUGCAUCCACCAAGAGCAGAGUUGAGCCACUGCAUGCUUUGCUUGGUGAUCAGAGAGAGGCCCUUGUCUUUGUCGAUCUGCUCCCAGCGAGCGAGCGAGGGAGAGAGAGAGAGAGAGAGAGAGAGAGAGAGAGAGAGAGAGAGAGAGAGAGAGAGAGAGAGAGAGAGAGAGAGAGAGAGAGAGAGAGAGAUGGAAACCUCAGACGCAACGCAAAAAUCACUAGAAUGAGACCAUAUACUACGCAUGGUGUAUUGAGAUUUCUGCAGCAAACAACCCAAUGCAAAACCAAGAACGUAACCAAAUGCAAAACCAAGAACGCAACCAAAUGUACAGACUCCAUACAGUGCUUGCAAUCAUAAUAAAGGCAGAAAACUAUCGAGGAAUUUAAACGCCCACGCAUCUAAUCCUGCUGCUUCCUUAAUCACCGGACCGAAAGCUACGUGAGGGCACCGUCGUCGUUAUCUCUCGCCAAUCACAUAUCACAUAUACUACUAGUAGUAGUACUAGAUCGAUCGGCGGUUGCAGAAAAGCCUGGGAUCCAGGCCAGGCGAUGUUGUUGCUGUUGGGAGGUCAGCCUCGCAGAUGCAGAUGCCUGGCUGGCUCCAAGCCCUGUGUUUUGAUUGCGAGCAUCAAAGCGCGUCGGGGAGACCACGAUUGCAUUCCGGCAACGGUAUUAGGGAAACCACGCUUUCGCCGUUAGGUGGCUUGGCUUAAGCCUUGACUUCGUACUCGCCUCGGCGUCUAGUCUAGUAGUAGUAACAGCAGUCGUUGCUAGAUCCUGGAGGUCUCUAGAUACCUGACGUUUCUGAAUUCUUGACGUCUGUUUCUGAUUAAAUGACAAGGCACAGAACCUGCCAUUUCUUCCUUAAUUUCUGCUUUGUCCCUGUCUUUGCUGGUGCUACGUUAGGAGUAGUAUUUCAAUGGACUCGGAAGGGCCAGAGAAUGUCAAGACGGUACAGGCUAAAUUCAUUUCUUUUUUUUAUUCGAUUGAUUGAUGCUCCAUUCCAUUUCUACUAUUAUAUAUGAUGGCUAGUUUGCUACCCGCAACAGAAGAGCAGCUGAACAGGGAGAUGGUCUCGCUGGAGUUGUUAUUGUGCUCAGCUCCCAGGAAUGCCAAUCAAAUCAGGGAUCUGAGUACAAAGUCCAAAAAAAUAAAGUGAUAUACUCAUUAACAAAAGUUGUUCUAAAUUCAUGAUUAUAUUGUUCCAGGAUUAUAUUAGAGCAUCUCCAGAAGCUUUCCUAAAAUCUAUUUUUAGGUCAUUAUUUGGUGAGUCAUUGAGUAAAAAAUUGUUUUCUAUAUUUCUGUACACUUCAACAACUUCUCUAUAUCUUAAGAAGUCUUGAGAGUCGUUAUUAUUUUCAUCUUUAGCUGGAGAGAAAUCCGGCAUAGAGGAGGUAUAUUUAGAUAUUCCAUUAAAAAAGGCUGUUGGAGGAUAUUUUUUCACUAAAUUCUCUAUUCCUAAAAAUUAGAAAAGAUAUAAAGAGUCUUUUGGAGAUGCUCUUACAGAUUAUUUGUUCCAGAUGUUUCAUUUGUUAAUGAAAAUUAUUGUUUCACAUGCCAAAUGUAAACUAUUUGUACAUUUUUUUUAUAAACCUAAUAUUCAGGCUGUCCUGGUGCAAAACGAAGGAACAUAUAUUCAUAUAAUUUUGAAAACUACUAUAUAUUAAGUCGUUCAAAUGACAAAGGACCAGAUGUUGGUGUAGGGUUAAAAAAAAUACCGAUAACUAUGGUAGUAAUUGGGGGGGGGUUGUAAAAAGAAUAACCCGGCCAAUUAGGAUUAGGAAAGGCAUUAGAAAGACAAAAGAUAUAUUAUAGUGACUAAAUAAUGAGAGAGAGAGAGAGAGAGAGUACAGGAUACAGAAUGGGAAUCUGUUCUGCUGUGUCGGCCGCCGCAUGGCCUGUUAGCGCUUCCUCGACUUGGGCCAGUACCCAACAGAGCAAACCGGCCAGGCCCAAGUUUAGACAAUGGACAGUUCACAAAUGAGGCAGCCACCAAAAAAUAAUUAGAGAUGUUGCAAAAAAAAAACGAAUAGAGAUCGGCAUCUUCUUCAACCUCCGUCCGUGGCUGCGGCUCGGACAACGCUCCUUCAGUUCGUCACAGCCUCGCAGACCUUAGCACUCCCCUGUUAAUUGAUAGGCUGAUUGAUGGUUAAAAUUCCAUGAUUAGUCAAGUGACGACGGACUAAUUUUUAGUUCAGUGAUCCAAAUGCUUGCAUGCACAUGAUUUUGUAGAAAGUUACUUUUUUUAGAUGAUUUCUAAACCUUUGGGACGAAGAGCCUAUAUUCCUCUCUGCUUGUGGGCUCCGACGGUUGGCCGAGGCCAACGUCUCAAGGCAGCUCCGUCGGAAGUCAGAACAGAACACACACGCCACACGUGAUGUAAUUCUCCUGAAAACGCAGGCGCUUGCUGCCAGUGUGCGCCGCCUCGUUGUCGUCGGAAGAGGCAGCACGGCAGCAUCACCAUGGCACUGUCACACAUGCCGCCAACAAUACACCAUACCAACUGCACAAGGGUAGUACAAUACUACGAGCAGUCGAGUACUAAAUUAGGUGCAUUCGGCACACCGCACAAUGUUUCAGCAUCUACAUACUAUCGUGUUUUUCAUCAUCAUCAUCAGUAGGAGAAGUCUUGCAGCCUCCGGAUAAGUGCUCACAAUGUGGUCGUUUCAGAGCAGGUUUGAGAUGAGCCGCCGCUUCAGGGUCCUGGAGGUGGACUGGUACGAACGGACCAGGAGGCCGGCGCCGACGCCGACGCCGAGGCAGAUACCCAGACUGAUGCCGACGCCGACCCUCACGCCGGCGGUGAACCAUGACAGCUCGCUGUACUCCUCGCCGUCGUCAACCCCGUCCGACCUCGUGUAGAGGCUGUCCUCGUCCGGGUCGGGCUUGUAGCACCUGUAAUAAUCCGAUUCCUGCACGCGACACGCAGCAGCGGUUCAGUCGUUUCAGUUCAGACUCCAGAGUGAAACACUGAAAGAAAUUUCUCUGAAUUCAACGGAGGAGGAAAAGAAUUCAGCGCACUGUGAUAACAAAUCAGAUUGUCCAAGAAAUCAGAUUGUACCUCUGGGUGAUGGUUGGGAGGCGUUUCUUUCAUGUCCUCCAUCUGCUCGCCGCACUCUGGAAUCGGGUCCAUGAACGCCUUCACCUGGCGCCGCCGCCUGAACCGCAGCUGCAUGGCCUUGGUGAACACGACCGGCGUGUCCCGGAACACGCCCGCGACGUACACCUCCACCACGGGCGGCUUCGUGUUCGUGUCCCUCUCCCCGCCGCAGCCGCACCUCAGGAACCCCGAGCCGCGCUGCGUCGGCACCUGGCACUUCAUCACCCAGCUCUUGGUGGUGCCGGCGCCCUUGCUGUCGUCCACGUCGCAGUCGCACGCCUCCAGAAUCCCGACGAGGAUCCUCUCGUCCUUGCUCUGGACCUCGAACCGCACGCUGCCGGACACCCUGACGGUCGCCGUGCACACGAAGGUGGCUUCCUCCGAUCUCUUGUCCACGCGAUCUCGGCGGAGGGAGAAGGAUACGCUGCUGCCCUUGCCGUUGCCGUUGCUGAUGAUGCCUGGGUGGCGGUCGGCGCCGCUCAAGUCCAGGAUGGUGUCAGGAGUGAGCGGGGUGUGGGUGAGCGUGAGAGUGCCCAGCAUGGACUCGUCGACCUCGCACCUGCUCACCCUCAGGUAGAAGACUCGAAGUGCGAGGCUGGACGACGGCUCCGGCACGGCCAUGGCAGCUUCUGGCUCGGGAAUGUCACCCAUGUUUCAGAGAAUUGAUUUUUUUGGGGCUAAGAAGUUGUUCACUCACAUGAGAGAAAGAGAAUCAACCAUCUGUUUCAACUCUGAACAUUCAGAGAUUGGGGCAUCACAGAGUACUCCAUCUGUACAUCUGUACAAGAAAAAAGAAAACAGUGAGUGGUUAGAUUGGCAGGGCAUAUUACAGGCAGUGAGUGAUCACUGAUCAGCCAAGAGGCAAGAGCUGCUAGAACUGUAUAAGCUACUGACGCAUCUCAUGCAGUAACAAUUCAGUUACAACAUAAACGGAUAACAGAUAGCAUCUGCUAAUUCACAUGCGAAGUAUCAUGAAGUUCACACAGGAUAGAUGAAACUCUAGCUGGGCUAUCUGAAUUGAUAAUAAGCUUUCUUCUUCAACCCUCCAAGAACAUGAAAGGUGAGGAAUAUGAAUUCAGCCUUGCCCUCAAGGCCUCAAUUCUAGUAUCGAUGUCCCAAUCCUGAUGACUACGGUCAGAAUUCAGAAACUGGUAGAAUCAUAGAAUCUUAGACUGUAAUUUCAAUCGCAUAUUUGCAUGGACGAACAGCUUCUACAGGAGAAACGAAUUUUCGAUUGCGCGACUAAACUACAACCGCGACCGUAGCCGCAACUAAUGAUGGAAGAGACCUUCAUAUUUGGCAAGAACACGAUAAGAGAACGCGAAGUACGCAAGAGACAAGAGAGAGGGGACGAAUCAUGAAUACUUGAAUAGCUUACCAGAUUGAGCUCCAAUGUUGAGCGGAUCCCUCUCCUGUGUCCUCUUCGGUCCCUCUUCUCGUUCAGUUCUUCAGUCCUGACAAAGAAUUUCUCCUAUAUAUCCUAUAUAUAUAUAGACUACUAGUACUAGGGAUCUUUCUUUGGUGGAGGUGAGCUGGUGAGGCCCCGUAAAUCCCUCAACUGACACCUCACACAAUGCACACCAGAGUCCAAAACCACCGCUCCAUGCAUGACAACAUGAGCCCCUCUAGAAACCUAGUAGGGAAAAAUAUACUUAUAUAUUUUUGCAUAAAUGCCCGUGAGGACAGAGCGCUUCCGCAGUCCCGUUUCCCCGCCUCAUAAUAAAGCAGCGAGUAAAUUACCUACCGAAACUGACAUGCCACAUUUUAAUGUGGAUUAAUUCGCACUAAUGUUAUACUAUAUUGCAGGUGUGUUAAUGGGAAAAUAAAGAUAUCCUAUGUAUUUCUUUUUCCGAAAAAAAAAGAUAUCAUUUAUAUUGUCGGGGCGAAUUUAUUAGUAGUAGCAGAGUAUGGAAUUUUGUACCCACAUUUUAGAUGUCUUAGACUUAGAAGAGUGCCGUCAAUAGUCAUCCACGUAUGUGUAGGAAAAAAAGAAAAAGGAAAAGUGAAGCUGGGAGCUGAAUUUAGGUGGUUUAGAAGCAAAAGUAUCCACUGCCGUCUGGUCCUGGUGAUCAAGAUCUCAAACUAGGUAAUGGUAGCACCACUAGUCCACAUCAAACAUCUCCCACCACAAGGAAUUAGUGACAAAAGUUAUGCUCUCAAAUGAUUUUCCAGCACCUAUGGGCUACAAGGUUCAACAAGUCGAAAUCAAACUUGAUUAGAAUCUGCUAGGACUAGGAACAGGUGGAAAAUGUUUAGGAUCGCAAUAGGGAAACCCUAUUUAUUUUUCUCAAGAUCAGAAUCAAUUUUAGUAUCUUCUAAGAAAUAAAAGACCACGAACCAAACUAUUGUAGUGAAAUUGGCCUAGCAUAUGGCACUCGACUUGUUGACCGAGAGCAUGAAUUUACUCUACUUGGUUACACAAGUGGGAGUUUAAAUUCACUUUGCUAGAUCGACCGAAUGAGAGUGCAUAAUGCACUCAACUUGAUUGGCAGGGUAUAUAUGUAUGUGUUUACACAUAAGUGUGCUAUUACUAUUCAAGAAACUAUGACACUAUCAUAGGAAUUCAUGCUAAAACUUUUCUACGUCUUGAGAUGACUUGGGCCCCACCUUCUAGAAUAUGGAAAGGUACCAUAUAUGCGUAUGCAUUUUGCCUCGCCCACGCCUCUUGGUCUCUCCUCUUCCCCCGUCUACCAUCAGUGGUGGAUGUAGGAUACGGCGGACUAAAUGAUGAAGAUUUAAGACUAGAGGUAGAGAUUAAUGAUGAUUUGAGACUAAGUAACCAUAGUCUAAUGAAGAAAUUAGGCUCACUAGGAGGGUUGUAGCCACGACAACACUCCCUUUGGAUCCACCUCUGUCUACCAUCUUGUUCUCUCGUUCUAGAACUUGCACGAGCCCCACCAUGCUCUUCAUUGCUCCGACGUCCUCCCUCCCCCUCCCUAUUGCCCCUUGUGUGGCCUUGCUAGCGCCGUUCCCGCCACAUAGUUGUUUAUAAGUGCACGAUUCAAGUGCAUCAGCUGACUCGAACCAAAUCACCGGCUUGCCUCGGAUCAAUUGUCGUAAAUGCAGGACCAGGUGAUAAGGUGCAAGAGUAACGAAGAUGAGGUGUUUUACAAGUGUCCAAACAACUUCCCGUAAUAUGUUGGUUUUAGGUCGUUUCAUUGAUAUCUUGUGUUCUAUAUGGUUGGCCAAUAUUUUUUUGGGAUUCUUUGUUCAAUAGAAUGACAUUACUUGUGGGUACUAAUGGUUUGAGGUUGCCUAUGAGGAGUAUCUACGCGCCAAUCAUCCUUUUGUUGUUGAACCCAGGAGCUGUGGAUUUAGUCUAGAUAGAAGAUGGAGCAGAGGUGAAAGGCGACUUGAACGCACAAUUGUGUCAGAUGCUGCACCAACUCAGUGAGUUGAAGGUCAACAUUAGUGAUGCAAUUAUUAGAAUCAAUAAUACCAAAGAAUAGAUCAAGGAAGAGAUUGGGAAGGGGAACAAACCUUUUAUUGUGGAUAGAGUUACGACCGCUAUGAUUGUAGACGUGUUAGCUGACUUGGUAAUGGUUGUUGUGGCUGCUAUUAUGUGGAAGAAGUGAAUGUACGAAGUUAGUAGCUUCUUAUUUAGCAUGUUGUCUAGUUAGGUUAGUUGCUCAUAAUAGUUUAGUGGUUGCUAGGUCACUUUGCUGUUUUUUAUGAAACAAAAGGGACCUUGGCCUCUACUGAAAUUGUGUCAAAAUAAAAAACUAGAGGCUACAGUAAUUGUUAAAUAUAAAUAAAAAUGCUAUAAUGUUAAAAUCCAUUUUUUAUCUAAACCAGACCUAAUAUGAUUGAACCGAUAGAAGCAAAAUAGAUCAUACGCGUAUACGGUACCUCUCGUAGAUCUGGAUGAGCAUAUUUCAGUUCCGCAGGAAUUUCAGUGACGGUGAGCCGGUGAAAUAUAGUUUUUUUAUACUAAAUACUGUAAGGUCUUGUUUAGAUGUGAAAUCUUUUUGGAUUUCGCUACUGUAGCACUUUCGUUUGUUUGUGACAAAUAUUGUCCAAUUAUAAACUAACUAGGGUCAAAAGAUUCGUCUCACGAUUUACAGACAAACUGUGUAAUUAGUUUUUAUUUUUGUCUAUAUUUAUUGCUUCAUGUAUGUGCCGAAAAAUUCGAUUUGACGGGAAAUCUUGAAAACUUUUUGGAUUUCUGUGGCAAAUCAACAAGGCCUAACCCCCGUGAGGCCGUGACGCCUGCUUCCGUUCGUCUUCCUCAGGCUUCCGAGUUCCGACCCACCCCGGCGCUCCAGCAGUCCCACGCGGCCGCGCCCUGGCGAAUCAGUAGCUUCGCUCCGGCGGCUCCGCUCCCCACGGCCCACGCCCCCGGUCAGGUGACUCCGCGGCUCCGCUCCGGUGCCCACGGUCCAGCGGCCCCGCGCCCCGGCGCGGCGCUUUGCGCGCACGGAGGGACGUUUUCUGGGAGGGCGAAGCGGACGCCCGCUGUCCCGUUUAGUUGGCGUGGAGGCGAAGCUGCUGCUGGGGCUCCUCCAGGCUCCAGGAGCGCUACCAAACGGCUUCCUCCGCUGACUAGCGCUCGCGAUCUGAUCGUCGCCCUGCCAGAGUCCCAGCCAGCGCAGCCUCCUACUCGUAGCCCACCAUGAUCCAGGCGGUGAUGGUGAUCAGCACCCAGGCCAAGCCCCGCCUCCUCAAGUUUUAUAAUUUCCAGGUUCCAAAGCCUUGCCCUCUUGUCUACAUUCUCUCUUUUCUACACUCGUCAUCUAGUCCCCUCUCUCUCUUCACCACCCAUCAAGUGGUCGAUCAAUUUUCCCAUCCAGAUCAACCACAGCUUGAUCUAUUGCUCGAGGAAUUACGUCAGCAAAGCAAAUAUUAUUGCCCUUAAUUCAUUUACUUCUCCGUUUUAUGGUUGCAGCCACCCGAGAAGCAUCAGGACCUCGUCCGCAGUGUCUUCCAAUGUAUGCGCGGUUCGGUUCCUAAUUUCUUCAUUAAUUUUGUAUGCACGCUGAGCUGUGUAGUUUAUUGUUGCAGUACUCUCUGCAAGGCCUGACAGCGUGAGCAAUUUUGUCAAGGUGGACUCCAUAUUUGGCCCGGUAAUGGUUGAUAAAGUAGUAAAUCUUUGCUAAAGGGAUAACUGGUAUGCAAAUGCUAGCAAUGGAUGAAACAAGUUAAUUGGUCAGAUGCCAUUUGUCUCCUUGGCUUCAGACAUGCAGAUUGGUAUCUUAGGCAUCUGUAUGUAAUCUAAGCUGUGCUAACUGCCCAGUGGUUAACUUGCUCUGUCUAGGUUAAUUUGCUCAUAUAUUGACAGAGACUUGAUAAGGUUUGGUUUUCUUCUUUGCGCUUUGCAGGGAACAAAAAUGGUCUACAAGCAUUUGGCCACACUAUACUUUGUUUUUGUAUUUGAUAGCUCUGAGAAUGAGCUUGCCAUGCUCGAUCUGAUUCAAGGUACCCUUAUGGCUUAUUGAUGAAAGAGGAAAGCAUUCUCUUUUUUUUCUAAGAAACAAAUUAUAGCAUUCUCUUUUUUUUCUAAGAAACAAAUUAUAUUCAGUGUGUUAUCAUGUCAUUCAUCUGUUUGGCCUGUCUUACUAUACAAUCAUUAGCUAUUUAUUGUGCUUCUUUCAGCAUUCAAUCACCAUUGUAUUUAACUUUUUUAUUCUGUAUUUAAUGCAUUAUUUUUCUGUUACAAAGUACCUGUGAAUUUUGACGUAACUACACUAGCACGUUCUCAACUUUCUUCUCUGUCCAAUUCUGUCUAGCUACUGAAAUUUUCACCUUGCACUUCACUGUCACUGAAGACUUAAUUUGUCCACCUUUUGUCGAACAACACUCUUAUCAGUUCUGAUUCUAGGAGAUUGAUUACUCAAACUUUGUCUCAUGCACAGUUUUUGUUGAAACAUUGGACAAAUGCUUCAAGAAUGUAUGCGAGCUUGACAUUGUGUUUAACUUCAACAAGGUACCAUAUGAUUCUACCCUUUUUAUCUUUUUAUACUAGAUUGUGUGCCUAUCAAGGAUGCGGUAUCCUGCUGAAAUUUUCAUUUAUGAUUCUUCAGUUGCACGUUUUAAGCAGAAUAGCUAGAUUGAAUCCCUGUUAUGCAGAAUAGCUAUACCAUUAUCUAUCCAUCUAAUUAAUUUGUGGUUGUAAUAGACAAGUACACCCAUUCUCUGACUUUAAAGCAAUAUAGAUAGGCUUCAAAUGGAUGAUUUUCUUAUGACAUAGUAUCACCCCAGGUGGAGUUUGGAUGACACCUGCCUUAAAUGAUGGAGGGCACUGCACUGCCGCAUUGGGCACCCCUAGGGGAGAGGCCUUGGCUAAGCAGAGAGUUGAAAACUUGAGAUACAUUGUACUUCAAUUCCAUUGCCUGCUUUGUCUCUGCAUUGCUUACAUCCUUGUUUAGAGGAGGGUCCUCACUCUUCAGAAAUCUAAGCGGACAAUAGACAGAAACAACCUUACAUUAAAGAUAGAAAAUAUAGAAUCAUGUAUAUAUUACACAGUAACUUCAAAACUAGGAAAUCUGCACCAUCCUUCCUGCUUCCUACCCAUUAUUGCUGCCGCCCACCUUAGCUUGCCACCUCCCAGUGGUGUAGAACUUGAAAAGCAAUGAAGGACCAGGCUAGAGCAUAUUUUCAUGCCUUGGCAAUAUAAUUUUGUUAGUAUGCAGAUACUGGUAGCUAAGGAGGGCUACGCCAAACUUUGGCUCCUUAGUACUGAACCUGCAGAUGCAUAUGGUGCUGGUUUUCCCUUGUUCACUGCAUUCUCAAGUGUUCACAAUGAGAUGUACUUUGACGUUUAUGCAUAGAAAUAGAAGUGCUCAGUCUUAAGACAAAAUGCCCCAAUAAUUCACUCUGGUGUUCUUGUGUUUCUUCACGUUCUUUUAAUUUAACUGUCAAUAUCUGAUGCAGCUGCACACGAUUUUGGAUGAGAUGAUAUUGGGCGGACAGGUGAUCGAAACGAGUUCAGAACAAAUAAUGAAAUCCGUGGAAGAGAUUGAAAGGUUCUCCUCGCUGCCUUCACUGCUCCAUAUAUUGUUUACACUACACUCUUGUACGUCUCGUGCUAAUAUGACUGUCCAUUACUUGACACAGACUGGAGAAACAAUCGAGCACAACCAGUUUCAUACCCAAGUCAAUUACAGAGCGUUUUACCCGUUAAGCUUCCACUCGUUUCCAGGACACCGAGCAUUUAGGUGUGAACAGAACUGAGAAGACAUACCAUUCCAGUCUCAUUUUAGUUCACCUGACGGGUUUUGUCAUGUUUCAUUGUAUGCCCCCGAGCUGUACUCUGUAAGCCUGUAACAUGGAUAUGAAUGCGGCAUCUGCAGUCUAAUAAUACUUCCUGCUUUAUAUGCUUGAUCGUCUGACAGUGCUUGCUGAGGUUCAGACAUGCAUCAGUAACAAACUAGCAAUAUUAUAGAGGGAUCGCUGGUCUCUCGCCUCAUGUAUCAUGAUAACUUAGAUCACUGUUAUUUUUUUUUUCAACCGACGUUGCCCAUUCAUGGAUCAAGAUUUCCCUUGUGCUUCAUUUUUUUUAAUCAUUGUCAAACAGUCAGCGUGUGCCAGCUCGCACACUCUGUCAAUUCAUUAGCCGAUUCAUCUUAUAUAAAAAAAAGGAGGUCCAAUUCACCGCUGUAAUUGUAUAAGCAUGAUACAAUUUUUGAAGUGAGAUAUUUAUGUGAUCGUUUUUAAUUUCAACCUGAUUGCGGAGUAAGUGCAAGUGAAAAUUUUUCUAGCCAUCUGGUGUGUUGCAUCCGAUGGCUGAUAUUUUGUUCAUGCCCGUCGAUCAAUAUUGAGAUCUAAAUGUAGUAAUUAGGUCUUUGAAUUUAAGUCAGGUUGCUCACCAUUUAUACAGCAAAACUUGGUACUGAGGCUUCCAGCCCGCACUUCCCGUUCCCAUUCCCAUGAGCGAUCCUGGCGGCUGCGCCGUGCGGCGGCCGCCAACGGCAGCGGAGGUGGUGGGGCGGCUCAAGGACGAUGGCGACUUCGAUGCUCUCCGCCGCGCCAUCGUUCGGAAGGUCAAGGACAACGUAAGCUUCCCCCUAAACGUCAAUUCCCCACAUCCUUUACCCCAAGGGUUGCGAUUUCGUCGCUCUUUAGUCCCUAAUCCUGAGCAGUGGAACUUUGAUGCGCAUGCCACUCCUUUUCAUUCUCCGGUGGAUCGCUCAUCGCCGUUACUUAAUUCGAUGCUGGGCUUGAUUGUUUGCAAGAGAUUGGAAUGGAAUGAUGAUGCGGAGUGUAGGGUUUCGCCGGAAUUUCGUCCGUUUGGUCUGCUAUAGUCCUUAAGAUUAUUAUAUGAUGCUAUAUCGGGAGCACCUUAGAUCGAACCCUGGUCGAGGCGUGCAUGAAUUGAUACUUUCAUUGGCAGGCUUGUAGCUCUCUAGUGGACAACUGCAGAACUUUGUUGGCAUUGAAAAUACUGGCUUGAGUUAGACAUAAAUCUUAAAUCAUCUGUGUUGUGUCUUGGGUGAACUGCAAUAUGAGUUCUAGGUUCUGGUGUUUGUUUAGUUAUGAAAUCCUAAGGUUCUAAAAUGGUCUGAUUCAAUGCUUGUUAGAAAAUGUUUCGAAAUUAUAAUCUGCAGGAUGGUGGAAGAGAACUUGGAACAUAAGAGAUUGUCUGUACCCUUUUGUAUUUAUGUUAUUCUAUAUGCUGCAUUUGGGAGGAAGUUUUCAACUUUCAAGAGUUUUCCUGUAUCUGACAUGUGUAAAGGUUCUCCAAAAGUUUCCCUCUAUCCGACACGUGUAGAGAUUCACCAAAAUUUCUAUGAUAGAAGGUAUACAUCUUGAUGUAGUUUCCAUGGGAAAAUGGAAGUGUCAAUUGUGAGAAGGGUCCUCACAUGCAUAUUCAUGUUCUUUUCCCCCCUAGUUGUGUUUCGAUACCUCAGGGAUGUGGAGAUUUGGCGCGCAAGGAUGAUAAAUGUGCUUUGUGCCACUCCGCUAUAGGACCAAUGUUUUCCUUUUUGUCGUAUUAGGAUUGUGUAACCGCUCAGCCUGCCACUUCCAGCACGUGCAAUAAGUUUGCGACGCAGCAUUUAUUUGGAUUAUAAAUGGAGUGGAGAGUUGAAUCAUCCACCAUUAGAAUGGAUAUUCAUUGACACGCAAACAUGGUUACAAUGGAUUAGUGCUCGUGAUGAGUAAGCGAUAAAUAAUUUCAUGAGCUUUUCACAAUGAGCUCUGGGCCUUGCCAUUCUAGUUUGACCUUGUUGAGCUGCUGCGUCAUAGGUGACUAGAGAUAAAAGCUCAAAUAAGUAACCCAACAAUUAUUAUGAUAUUAUCUGAAACUGCAACACCAGUUGUAGAGCACCAAUUGUUUGAGUCAUUUGUCAGGGCUAUUGUCAUUUGGGGAAUAUUUGGUAUUACCUCUGGUGAUGUUGCAUAAUUAUUAUUAUUAUCCAGUCAUCUGUUGAAAAAUGUGAGACUAAUCUGUAUCCUUUUGUCGUAUACAAAUGUUUUCAGCAUGACAUUUGCCUUUGUAUAAAUAAUUUGCAUUUCCUGGCCAGCCAGGGUAUUGUACUCCUGUACCUUAGAACAAAGUCAGCCAGCCAGGGAGAGUAGGAGACAUCUCUCUUGACGUAGUCGAGAUUUUUUAUUUAUUUAUCAUUAUGAGCCAUGCUGAUUGCCAGUUGCUCAACUUCAUUUCACAUUGUUCCAGUUGUAUGAUGAAAAUGGCCUCUUCUUCAUAGUGACUUUAUUUAUGUAAGCUGUGGCAAAAGAAGUUUCCUUUGUAUAAGAAGCAUGUGAUGUCUGUCUAUCUUUUUUCCUUUUUUGAUUAGACAUGAAGGGUUUGUUAUCUGGGUUAUCUAGUCCAUUCAUCCAUGUUUCUCGCACAUUUAAUUGAUUUCCUCUGAUCACAGAUUAAUUACAGUUCUUCAGUUGCAUCACUUGUCUCUUGGGCAAUUUGAAAUUUGUGUUAUAGUGUCUAUUUCACCAUGCUAGGUGGUGUAUACUCUGCUUACAUGGCCAGCAUUCUGCUCAGUAGAUGUAUAUUGCAUAUAGUGCAUAGUAACCUUUCCUUUGUUCAUUGGAUAUGGCAUUAGUGGUGGAUAUGGCAUUAGUGGUGUGGUGCAUACUUCUAUAAGUUUAUGGCAUGCUAUCUUUCUUGCAGGAGGUACUACGCAACAAAAUCAUCUCCGAGGUAAAGCAGUCAGUGGUUCUACAAGAAGAGGGAUCCGAGAGGAUGAAACUAAAAGACUUAUCUGAUGCAAUUUUUCAAGAUAUUGGGUAAUUUGAUCCACUUCUUUUGUAAAAGCCUUCAAAUGUACCACUUCUUAAAUUCUCAUAAUAGAUGUUGAUUACUAACUCAAGUUGUUGCAAAACUGCUCUUCUUCAUUAUCAGGAGCAAAAUAAUGGGUGAAAUCUCAGAUGAGGUGUGGAAGGUCAUCCAGUCAAACGAAACUGAUAUACAGGGAACUGUGAAAGCUGUCUACAAUAGGAUACUGAACCCUGAAAAAAUCCCUGAGCCUUCUUCUAAGAAGCUGAGGGAAGGCAAAGAUGAACAAGUUUUGGCAACAAAAACAGCAACGACAGUUGCAGUCGAGGCAGAAGAUGAUGAUCCAGAGGAACCACCGGGGUUUGGUUUCGGCAAUUCUCAGCGUAAUAAUAUUGGAGCAACAAAGCCACCGAUGAAUUUGGAAAAUCGCAAUGAAGCGAAGCCAAAUGGAGGUGAGCCAGCUGCUGUCAGCAACCCAGGGGAUGAGGAGGAGGAUCCUGAAGUGCCCCCUGGAUUUGGUUAAUGCAAUUCUUUUUUUUCGAAAAUGUGCAUUGGCACUUCACAAACUUCAGUGGCAAUGCAGCAGUUUCUUUAUCAGCAAUAUACAAGAAGAGAAUUUUUUAAAUUUUCUGUUGUCAGGAAGAGGAAUGCUUUAGCUCAUAUCUCCGACUUGAGAGGUACCACAGUUGAAACCCCUGUAAUGGUCGCUAAAUCUAUGCAGCCGCAGGAUAUCUUUUACUGUGAUGCCGUGAUGGUGGCAAAUAUGUUUGGGCCUGACAACGAGUUGGUUGUGUGCGUAGUUUCUAACUAUCUGUUUCUGUCUUCUUUGCUUGCCUCCUGAGUUGCCUUUUUUUUUAGUGGAGAGUUGCUAUAGUUGCUUGCUCCCUGUAAAUGUUGCAAGGCGCAAGGCGGGAAGCCCAUGUAUAUGGCGAGGUAGCUUUGAAGCCCAUGGGCUAUUUUGGGCAUCGCCGAAGGAAGAGUAUAUGUUCUUGUGAAUUUCUCGUAACAAAAAAAGAUUGGGGCUCUUUUGAACACAUGAUUCUUAAAAGACAGGAACAUGAAAAUACAGGAAUGAAGCUGCGUAUCAUUUGUGUCCUACUGGAAUUAUAGCAUAGUGGUCUAUAGAAUCCAUUUUCAUCUCCCACCCUAUGAAUUUAAGAUAGACUUUUUUAGAGUAUAAGAAGAUAGACUUAUUUGUGAGCUUGGGAAAGUUGUGGAAUAUCAUAUUCUAAGCUAAAUAGCCUAUAAUCCAUUACGUAGAUUUCAAAUCCUCCAAAAAUAAAGGGAUCCAUACGGUCCCUUAAUGAACCGUAUGGUUCCCUUAAGAAGAUUGGACUAUGGUGAUGUGGUCGGCAAAUUCAGCAAGUCUAACACCUACGUUUUGUUCUGAUUGCCAUUAAGCAUUUGAGGCUAGCAAAUGCUUGUUAGGUGGUGGUUAAUUUUUUGGGUUUUAAGAAAGAAGACCAUCCGAUGUUAACUCAGUUUGAGCAUCACAGAAGGGAUCAAUCAACCCUUGUCCACGAAACAAGGGAUAGUAGCAUUCGCCUCUCCAUCACCCGGCCACACGAGGCAUGGGGCCAGCGGCUCAAAAUCUGGAUCUGUCAAAAAAAAAAAAAAACUGGAAAACGCUUUCGCCGGAGCUAAGCUCUUCAUUAAACCAGGGCAGGCGCUCCAACAUGAAUCAUCGUAGUCGUCGCAGUCGCUGAAGCCAAACUCGAACGCAUCAUUGAUCCUAGAGGAGCCCUACCGCCACCGCCCACCGCCCACGCCGCUGCCUGCUACGACGACGACAAGCAGCGGUGUAAGUCCUACCAGCAACGUACGAGGAGUCGCGGACUCGUCGAGGAGGGAGACACGGCCUGCUAUGCGUGACGUGCCUCGCGCCGUAGCCGAUUCCCCCAUAGACUUUGGCGAGCCGAUUGGAAGGUGGCCAUUGGCAGGGCGUGAGCUCUCGAGCACAGCUCGGAAUCAGGAGACGCUACGCCGGCCGGCACUCUACUGGUAGUAGUAGACGCUAGUACUACGCUCUCUUCUUUUGCUGCAUGUGCAUCACUACGAACUGACCGUUUCGCCAGUCUCCAGUGCCUGCCUGAUAGUAUUAUUCCUCCUGUUCCCGUCAGCAUUGCCUGUACUAGACGUCAGUUGCUGCAGUAGUAACAUUCUUCCUAUCAAAGUGAGUGAGUGACCGCCACUCUCCCUUGUCCAAGCUUUUUUUUCUAUACUACUCUUCUUUUUAGCUUUCUAGCGGAACGUUUAAUUUUCUUCCAUGCGACAGCAGCUAAUGUGUUGCUCGACGUGAUUGGAAAUAUGAACUGAAGCCACCUUUCGUUUUCUUUCACGUCGAUCGAGCAAUGAUGUCGUUUAGUAUAUAGUACUAGGGCACUAAUACUAUACAGGACAGAGAUACAAUAUAUUAGUAUUAUAUAUAUAUAUAUAUAUAUAUAUAUAUAUAUAUAUAUAUAUAUAUAUAUAUAUAUAUAUAUAUAUAUAUAUAUAUCAAGUAUUCAAGUGUAUCACAGUUCCUUCCGAAUGAGUGAAGAUGAACGACAUGGGAUCAUAGAAAAAAAUAGCCCGCUAUUUUUGCCGCUAUAGCCCGAAAUAGCUUGAAAAAAGUUAUGCCGCUAUUUGCAUUUAUGCACAAUUUUGCCGCUAAUUACGGUUUAUAAAACGCUAAAUACCUUGGCCUUAGCUCGCUAUUUAAAACAUGGCAUGGGAUUCACCUGUUGACUGUUGUGUCUGUAUAACAACAGUGUACAUGCACAAGUUUGUAACCGGUUUCAUACUAUCAUUCUGCGGAUACAAUUGUACAUUGUACAGCAUCUGGAGAUGCAAUGUUCUAAGGUUGCUGCCAAUUUUCUUUCUUACUGUCAGCCACAGGAACAUUAU
RNAcentral lists this long non-coding RNA (28764 nucleotides) under Sorghum bicolor (sorghum). Its description in RNAcentral is "long non-coding RNA (SBIC_LNC001695)". The record is from RNAcentral. Lineage: Eukaryota; Viridiplantae; Streptophyta; Magnoliopsida; Poales; Poaceae.